GUGAUCAUUGAUAACCGAUUUUCCGUCGUGUACGUCGUCUCAUUGCCUCGAUAGGGAACACCAUUGAUACGCCAAGCGCACGAUUAUGCGAAUCCACUCAUAUUUCAAUCGUCGAAAUACGACCGAACGCCCGUAACCAAAAACCAAAUGGUGGUGGUUGUCAUUCGGAAUUGUGUUAUUCUCGUAAUACCGGAAUCGCAACGCUAACACAUCAAAAGGCCAAAUCGCAUUAUUACAAUGUCGACACGCGCAAAUCGCGAUCAUAACGUUUUAUAUUACAUUUUUUUUCGAACGUCAGUCAUGUGCUAAUCUAGGCACAUAUUAUACGCUAUAUUAAGUUACAAUAUAAUAUACAAUAUAGUCCCGAAUACGGUAAUUCGCACGUAUUUGCAUUUUUUUUUAUCUUUUGCCGUAAACCGCGGAUUCGGCGAUUUUAAAUUACAAUAAUUACAUUUUAUUAUUUUAUUCGAUCAUCAUAUUUUAUGCAGUCAACAAAUUGGGAUUUUCGACUACACGUGAAUGCCUACUGGAAUACCGAGAUCCCAACAAUCUUAACAUAAAGCAAAUGUAGCAAUUAAAAACAAGAAAUGGUAUACAGUAGUUGUAAGUAAUUACAAAAGACAUCUUUGUAGACAAUUUAUAUUAUAACUUUCAAGUGAAAUUUAUCAUUUAAAAUUAUUAUCUAUUAUUUUUUUUGAAAAAAAAAAAUAAUAUAGGUAUAAUAUCUUAGAAAGUAAUUUUUACUAAAAUUGACACCUAUGAAUGGGAAUGAAUAAUAGAUAUGCUCCCAGCACUGGUUAGAAAAUGCAGCACAGCAAGCAGAGAAAAAUCUUACCGAAGGACAAAAGAAAAAAAGAACAAGCACAAAUUAAAAUCUAAAUCACACAAAAAACCUGCUCUAAUUACUUCAAGUAAACAUUUAGUUCAAUAUUCAGAUGUUAGUUCUGAAGAACUUAGUAGUCCAGAGGCUGGUGAAAUACAUAGUGAUUUCGAUGAUAAACAUGGGGCCAUACGUUUAAAACCUCCUACCAGAAUAAUAACUAAUAAUUUUCGAAUUACUAGAGUCACGUCACCUAGAAAUCUAGUAGAAGCCUGUUCCCCUAUAAGUAAUCAUUGGGAACUAGAUCCAGUACUAGAUAAAUCUUCAAUGUCUACCACUUUCAAUAUAAAUAAUUGCGUAGACAUGACAUCAGAAGUAUCACGUUUAAAGUACAAAAAAGCUAAAAAAUCCAAUAAAAAACCCAAAAGCCCUAAUACAAAAAAGAAAAAAAAGAAGAAGGAUUUGAAACAUAAAUCUGAUGAAUUACCAGACUGUGAUAAUAGUUUUGUGAAGUUUUCCAAAUGUUCUAAUUCGGAACCUUCCAAACGAAAUGGUGAUUUUAUUGAACCUGUUAAAAAGCAUAAACCUAUUGAGGUGUCACAUACUCCACCAUUAACAAAACCAGCUCAUAUCAAAGUUUCCAAAGUUGAGGUAACACAUAAAGAGGAAGAAAAACACACCAAACAUCAUAGAAAAGAAAAUAAAAGUUGGAUGAAGAGCCCACCAUUAUUAAAUUUAGCAAUAAGGAAAGAAUAUAGCCGUACUCCUGAACCUGUAGAUGGUAAAUAUAAUUAUCGACCACGAAGUGUUUCAAAACAAAAUAAUCGGGACCAUAAAAGACGUAUGGAUGAGUUUGAAAGAUAUGACACUGACGACCUCAAGUCUAGUAGGACUCGAGACAAACACGAGAGCAAACACGAGAGCAAACAUGAGAGCAAACACGAGAGCAAACAUGAGAGCAAACACGAGAGCAAACACGAGAGCAAACACGAGAGCAAACAUGAAAGGAGUAGAGUACGGAAAACUAAAUCUGAUAAAGAUAGAUCACCAGUACACAGCCACAGAUUAUCACGAAGUCCAAUUCGAGAUCGUAGACACCAUGAACACGUGAAAAGUUCUAAAGCUGGAUAUUCACAAUCCCAUUCUCAUUCCCAUUCCCGUUCUCGUUCUCGUUCACAUUCCCCCCAUCAACCGAGACAUGAUCAUCAUCAUGCACACCACUCGCCAAAACGUGGUCAAAAAUCUCCACCGCGUACUACUACUUCCAAAUCAUCAAAGCAUACGUCUCAUAUACCGCGAACAAUCUCACCUCACAAUUCUCGUUCUUCGAGAAAAUCAAGUCAUAAUCAACCAAAAUAUUCACGUUCUCCAUCUAAAAACAUCCGCACUCAAAGUAAAUCGUCUUCUCCAGUAAAGGAUUCAAAAACUACUAAAAAGCAUUCUGAUAGUGAUUCACCUGGAUGUUAUUCUUCAGUUUCUAAGAAAAAAAAAUCUACAAAAAGUCCAGCAAAACAAUAUAAUUCUAAAGUAAAACUUAGUGAAACGAGUCUUUUUGCUGAGUUGGUAAAAGAUCGGCAGAUGCGGGAAUUAGCCAUGAAGUGUUUAACUCAAAUUAGUUCUAAGACUGUUGAUGAAAAUGAUGUAGUUGAAAUACAGGAUGAUUCAGAAAAUGAACAAAAUAGUUCUAAGACAAAUGAUAUAAAUACAAAAUUAAAUAAAAUAAAUGCAAACGAUGAUGUGGAUUCUUGUGAAAUAGUAGAAAUGUCAGAAAAUAUCAGUCAAACUACUAAACCUGAUGUUGAAACAUCUGAUGUAAAAUCAGUUACUUCACCAAUUUCAGAAAUUACGACAAACAUUCCAGUGAUUUCUCUUAAAAGUCAAAGUCCGUCUAUUACAAAAGUAGAGAUCAUAGAAAAUGGAAUUGAACAUUCUGUAGAACCUAAAGAGCCUAAAGUAAUAUUAACACCCAAAAUAACUCCACCUGAGAAAAAAGUAGAAGUAAUAGAAAAUAAAGAUAUGUCAAAAAUGCCAUUGCCGCCUGUUUUUUCAAUACACAAUGAAACGUCACCAGAUUCAGAACUUAAGAGUUCAAAAAAAAGCUUUAAAGAUUUACCUCUACCACCAGGACUUGUUCAAAAUGCCGAUAAGACAGAUGAUGAUAAAAAUCUUUCUUUGUCAGAAAUUGUAUCAAAUCCUUUACCUGAUCAUCAACAAAGUGCAAUUAAAAGAUCAAUUAUGUUGGGCUUAGGAUCAGUGUUUCCACAAAGCUUUUCAUUCACUUCAAACACGGAACUGCCCUCUCGUCCAUUAGAUCCAAAUGUUAAGAUUAAACGACCUAGAGUACUUUAUCGAAGACGGAAUACAAAAUCUGCUGCAGCCAAUAACCCUAUUGAUUGGGGAGAGCAGUGUGUUGAUAUGUUUGAAGUAAUAAAUCAAAUAGGUGAAGGUACCUAUGGUCAAGUUUACAAAGCAAAAGAUAAAACUUCAGGUACAUUUGUAGCAUUGAAAAAAGUUCGUCUUGAAAAUGAGAAGGAAGGAUUCCCAAUUACCGCUGUUCGAGAAAUAAAAAUUUUACGGCAAUUAAACCAUAAAAAUAUUGUUAACCUUAGAGAAAUUGUAACUGAUAAACAAGAUGCCCUUGAUUUUAAGAAAGAUAGAGGAUCGUUCUAUUUAGUAUUUGAAUACAUGGAUCAUGAUCUUAUGGGAUUAUUAGAAUCCGGAAUGGUUGACUUUAAUGAGACACAUAAUGCAAGUAUUAUGCGACAAUUGUUGGAAGGCUUAAAUUAUUGUCAUCGUCGAAAUUUUCUUCAUAGAGAUAUCAAAUGCAGCAACAUCUUAAUGAAUAACAAAGGUGAAGUGAAGUUGGCUGAUUUUGGUCUAGCUAGGUUGUAUAACGCUCAAGAUAGACAAAGGCCGUACACUAAUAAAGUGAUAACCCUCUGGUAUAGGCCACCUGAAUUAUUACUAGGCGAAGAGAGGUAUGGAACUUCAAUAGACGUUUGGUCUUGUGGAUGUAUUUUGGGAGAAUUGUUCUUAAAAAAACCUUUAUUUCAGGCCAACGAAGAAAUGAUGCAAUUGGAAACAAUAUCUCGUUUAUGUGGUAGUCCAACACCAGCUGUGUGGCCUACUGUGAUUAACUUGCCUUUCUGGCAUUCCUUAAAAGCUAAGAAAGUAUAUCGACGUCGGUUACGUGAAGAAUUUACAUUUAUGAAUGAUAGUGCCUUGGAUCUUUUAGAUCAUAUGUUAGAAUUAGACCCUAGCAAACGAAUUACUGCUGACAAAGCUCUAAAAUGCAAUUGGUUAAAAAAUGUUCAACCUGAUAAAAUGGAUGUGACAGCAUUACCAACAUGGCAAGAUUGUCAUGAACUUUGGAGCAAAAAAAGAAAAAGAGAUCAAAGAGUACGAGAAAACCAGCCCAAGACUAACGAUUCUAGUGAACCAAUACCACCGGCUGGAGGAAUUCCCGCUGAUGUACAAAAUAAUGAAAAUAAUUUAGCUGAUAGUUUAAAAUCAACUGUUGAAAAUAAUACCAAUGAAGCGGAAAGUGAUAUUAUAGCAGCAGCGCUUGCCAAUAACAAUUCAACAAAAUCUGAUAUUGAAUCUGAAAAGCCUCAUAACAAUGUGGAAACAGAUGAGGUACAUUGAUUCAGUAUUCAGAUAAUGUAUUAUAGUUGAUUAGAUAAAAUAAUUAGCUUAAUGUUAUCUAUAGCAAUUGGUGUCUAGUACAACUGUUGACGUAAUUGAUGAUUUAAAUCUGACUCCACCUAUCAACGAUUUUAAUCAAUGCUUAAACACUUUCCUUCCAAAAACUGGUAGAUUUUAGAUCAAGC
RNAcentral lists this unclassified non-coding RNA (4650 nucleotides) under Acyrthosiphon pisum (pea aphid). RNAcentral's name for it is "cyclin-dependent kinase 12, transcript variant X3". The record is from RNAcentral. Lineage: Eukaryota; Metazoa; Arthropoda; Insecta; Hemiptera; Aphididae.